CUGGAGAAGUAUAAAAGGCAAAGCGAUUCCCUCAUUCGGUCUCAUUCUUCCGCGGUGAUCCUCUGAGUAGCCAGGUAUUAAUAACUAUUUAACUUAUUUUAUUGUAGUGUUUGAGGCUUUAAUGUCGUAUUAAACAGUAUUUCCAUUAUGUAAUAUUGGUUUAUACUUAAAGCCGAUGUUGUUUUGCAAUAAGUUAUUCAUAUUCAUUCAAAAUGUCUUCCACGUGCUACAGGCCUCGGGGGCACGCUAAAAUACAACUUUAUGCAAGUUUUUCUUAGAAAUUGUAACCUGUUUUGACCUUAAAUCAUUAACUAAAGCUGUUGACAAACACGUAUUUGUAUUCCAUUUAAUAAUCGCGUGGUUUGACUGCUGCUUAAGGCCUCGUGUUUACUUGUAUGAUGAAGAAUAUGUUGGUAGGGACAUCUGAGAAAAUCUGAUGAAUGCCAACAUUUCUGACAUGUAGCAAUUAAAAUAUGCUGACUCCUGUUUGUUCAUGCAGAACAUUAAAGAUUUUUCUUUUUUUUUCCAGGUCGAGUCUUUCAAUUAUCUUAGGCUAAUGUGGAACAGCAGAUCCUGAGUCUCAAGUGUUAAAAAUAAACACCAGGACUCUGCUGUUGGUCUGAAUCAUCUCCAAGGGUCAUGUGCUCUGCAGUUCAACUUGAAGGUUGCCUAAAAAGGUGGAUCAAGCUGUAUGGAGAUGGCGUCAGUUGACUUGAGGUUCCCCAAGAAGAUUGAAAAUGUAUGAAGACUCCAGCUGAUAUGCAAGAUGUCUGCAUGUGGCCAAUCGUUUCAGAUUUUCUGACUUAAAAUGGAGAUGAAUGACCCGUCAUUAAAGUAGUCUUCAUGGACUCCCAUCCAGUAUCUUCAUGACUGCCAUCCUUGUGUCUUGUUGACAGGUACAGUGGCCAGCUCUCCAUAGUGCAAUAUGAAGAAUGUUACUUGGAGGUGUCCAAAGGGCUUCAGCCUCUGCAGUUUUGAAAAGGGAUGAAGUUGAGUUCAUCUGGUUGACUUUUUGGGUGAAGUUUCAGUUGCCCCUCCCUUUGUUCAAAGGGCCUCAUCCUCUGUAAAAGGUGCGACUUUGCCAUGUGAUUAGUCUGUCUUGUAACCUGUGACGACAUGAUUCUGCCAAAUGAAUCUAAUGAUUAUACCCCAACCGUUCCAUAUUUCUGAGGUUAACUUAGACUUACUUAAAACCUUGAAGUUUUAUACAUUGUUGUAAAUCUCUCCCUUUUUCCUUGCAGAAUGAAGUUGUGUGCAUCUGCUUGACUGAGGAUUUUUUUCAAUGGAAAUGUGUUUUUUUUUUUUAUGACUUUAAUAAAUUGCUAUUAAUCUGAAGUUGGUGUGUGAGUUAAUCUGCAUUAAGUGUGGUAUCUUUCAAUGUAUUGCACGGAUAGUUGCAAGUAUGAUUUAAAUAGUUAAUGUAAACUCUUGAGUGGAUUUUAUUUUUUAUUUUUUUCUCAAGACCAUAAACCACACACACACACUGUUCCCUCAAGAC
RNAcentral lists this small RNA (1498 nucleotides) under Danio rerio (zebrafish). Its description in RNAcentral is "gas5-010". The stretch from base 385 to 465 matches the Rfam family "Small nucleolar RNA SNORD74". Lineage: Eukaryota; Metazoa; Chordata; Actinopteri; Cypriniformes; Danionidae. The record is from RNAcentral.